This 1050-nucleotide long non-coding RNA is filed under the name Numida meleagris (helmeted guineafowl). RNAcentral's name for it is "lncRNA (ENSNMEG00000001099.1)". The record is from RNAcentral. Lineage: Eukaryota; Metazoa; Chordata; Aves; Galliformes; Numididae.
CUAUGGGGCCAGGUGAGGAUCUAUGGGGUCAGCUGACGAUCUAUAGGGCGUAGUCAGGAUCUAUGGGGCCAAGUGAGGAUCUAUGGGGCCAGGUGAGGAUCUACGAGGCCUGGUCAGGAUCUAUGGGGUCAGCUGACGAUCUACAGGGCGUGGUCAGGAUUUAUGGGGCCAGGUGAGGAUCUACGGGUCCUGGUCUGGACCUAUGGGGCCAGGUGAGGAUCUAUGGGGCUGGGGGGCUGCGUACCUGCAGGCGGCGUGCCCCCUUGUUGCGCCGUGUGGGGCCGCGGGGCCGCUCGGGGGGGGCCAGGUACUCGGCCGGAAACGGGCUGUACGGGGGGGAGCCCAACUGCAACCGGGGUCAAAGGUCAGGGGUCAGGGGUCAGCCGUGAGAUGGCGGCGCCCUCAUCCAAGAUGGUGGCGCCCUCACCCAAGAUGGCGGCAUGCACUGCCAAAAUGGCGGUGCCCACAACCAAGAUGGCGGCGCCCUCAUCCAAGAUGGCGGCGCCCACACCCAAGAUGGCGGACCUCGCUUCCACAAUGGCGGCGCCCACAUGCAAGAUAGUGGCGCCCGCGACCAAGAUGGCCGACCCUGCUUCCAAAAUGGCGGCGCCCACACCCAAGAUGGCGGAGCUCGCUCCCAACAUGGUGGCGCCCUCAUCCAAAAUGGCAGCACCCACACCCAAGAUGGUGGUGCCCACACCCAAGAUGGCGGAGAUCGCUCCCAAGAUGGCGAUGCCCACACCCAAGAUGGUGGCGCCCUCAUCCAAGAAGGCGGAGCCCACAUCCAAGAUGGCGGCGGCCGCGUUCAAGAUGGCGGCGCUCGCUUCCAAAAUGGCAGCAUCCACACCCAAGAUGGCGACGCCCACACCCAAGAUGGAAGCACCCACUCCCAAGAUGGCGACUCCCGUGUCUAAUAUGGCGUCGCCCACACCCAAGAUGGCGACGCCCAAACCGAAAAUGGCGACACGCACUCGCAAGAUGGCGGCGCCCAGGCAGGGGGGCGGCCAUCUUGGCGGCAGGGACUCACCGUGCUCAGGUAGGAAGUGGGCG